Molecule: ribosomal RNA, 683 nt
Filed under: Staphylococcus aureus
Lineage: Bacteria; Bacillati; Bacillota; Bacilli; Caryophanales; Staphylococcaceae
Description: partial 23S ribosomal RNA
Rfam family: Bacterial large subunit ribosomal RNA
Source: RNAcentral
CACUGCCGAGAAAAGCCUCUAGAUAGAAAAUAGGUGCCCGUACCGCAAACCGACACAGGUAGUCAAGAUGAGAAUUCUAAGGUGAGCGAGCGAACUCUCGUUAAGGAACUCGGCAAAAUGACCCCGUAACUUCGGGAGAAGGGGUGCUCUUUAGGGUUAACGCCCAGAAGAGCCGCAGUGAAUAGGCCCAAGCGACUGUUUAUCAAAAACACAGGUCUCUGCUAAACCGUAAGGUGAUGUAUAGGGGCUGACGCCUGCCCGGUGCUGGAAGGUUAAGAGGAGUGGUUAGCUUCUGCGAAGCUACGAAUCGAAGCCCCAGUAAACGGCGGCCGUAACUAUAACGGUCCUAAGGUAGCGAAAUUCCUUGUCGGGUAAGUUCCGACCCGCACGAAAGGCGUAACGAUUUGGGCACUGUCUCAACGAGAGACUCGGUGAAAUCAUAGUACCUGUGAAGAUGCAGGUUACCCGCGACAGGACGGAAAGACCCCGUGGAGCUUUACUGUAGCCUGAUAUUGAAAUUCGGCACAGCUUGUACAGGAUAGGUAGGAGCCUUUGAAACGUGAGCGCUAGCUUACGUGGAGGCGCUGGUGGGAUACUACCCUAGCUGUGUUGGCUUUCUAACCCGCACCACUUAUCGUGGUGGGAGACAGUGUCAGGCGGGCAGUUUGACUGGGGCGGUCGCC